Molecule: non-coding RNA, 277 nt
Organism: Erythranthe guttata (spotted monkey flower)
Lineage: Eukaryota; Viridiplantae; Streptophyta; Magnoliopsida; Lamiales; Phrymaceae
Source: RefSeq, a predicted model, not a curated record
UUCUCUGUGUCUGAAUUUCCGACACAAAAAUAAUGUAUGUGUCAGUGUCGGAUUACAGACUUUCACCUGAAGAUCUCCACCACCGCCUAAGGCCGCCUCCUGAACCUCCGCCGCCAAGAUGGAGGAGAAGCAUAUAUAUUGAACAAUAUUCUUGUCAGCGGAAACGGACUCUUUCAUUAGUGGAGUCAUUCAUAGUUUUGGAGGGGUGGAAAAGGUUGAUAAUAAUUGGCGAAUCGUCAUUUGUGCAAUUAUCUUCCUUCAGGGCCACAUUUAGGCA